Non-coding RNA from Antechinus flavipes (yellow-footed antechinus), 1798 nucleotides. The record is from the annotation of a RefSeq genome assembly. NCBI's taxonomy places the organism in Eukaryota, Metazoa, Chordata, Mammalia, Dasyuromorphia, Dasyuridae.
CCAGGCUCCCAGGGAGAGGAUAAGAGGGGCCUGGCAGAGCCCGGACCCAGCUGGUUCUCUCUGGGGAGCAGAGCUCUCGGGGUCCCCUGCACCAUGGCCUGGCCUCUCGUCUGCCUCCUCCUGCUCACCUGCUGCUCAGGUUCCUUCUCCCAGCCUGUGCUGACUCAGGCUCCCUCCAUGUCUGUGUCCCUGGGAGCCACGGCCAGACUCUCCUGCACCCUCAGCAGUCAGCACAGCAACUACUAUAUUGCUUGGUACCAGCAGAGCCAGGGAAAGGCCCCUCGGUACCUCAUGUAUGUGGACAGUGAUGGAAGUGCAGGCAAGGGCGAGGGGGUCCCCGACCGCUUCUCGGGCUCCAGCUCUGGGGCCAAUCGCUACUUGUCCAUCAGCAACAUCCAGCCUGAGGAUGAAGCCGAUUACUACUGUGGGGCAGGUGAUAGUGAUGGUUUAUACAGUGCUACAUUCUGUGAGGAAGUGGGACAAAAAUAUCCCCUGCCAGUCCUGACCUGGCCCAGACUGCUGACAUAGCCCAAGCUGGUAGGGCAUGAAUAGGUCCCUUCUUCUCUCUGCUUCUUCCUCUCUCACACUUUUACUUUCUUUCACUUUCUGGCUCACCUCCACAUCCAAGCCUGAUACUAAACUGUCUCACUCUGUCUCAGUCUUUCUCCCUCCCUCUUUCUGUCUCUGUCUCUAUGUUUCUGUCUCCAUCUCUGUAUCUGUCUCCCUCUCUUUCUCUCUCCCUCCAUGAUGUUCUAUGACCUGCCUGAGAAAAAACCAAGAGUACAUGAUAGAAACAGGUCUUGUUCCCACAUCUUCUUUAUCCAGAACCUGGAUUUUACUCAUGUUCCAUUGUGAGCCCAGGGAAAAAGAUUUACCUGAGUCUUCAGACUUUGACAAGUAGAGAGAAGAUGAGAGGGAGCCUCUGCCAUGGUCCCUACAACAGCCAACCCGGCUUCUUCUUGGAAAGAGAAAUGAGACAGCCAGUGGUCAUGAGACCUCGGCCACAGAUACCUUGUAGAGCAGCAAAGGCCCCAGCACUGAAGUGGGAACAGAGAGGACUCCAAGUGCUGGUGGUCUUGUGUCCAGCCUCCCUUUUCUUCUCUGACACAGCAAUCAGGUGGAGCAGGUCUUAUCACCCAACAUUUGGCUGUGGGCACAAGCAGCUGCCUGGUCCCUGCUUCAAGGCUGUUCCCAUUAAAGCCUAGUCUCCACUCUGCUGUCAAAUAUAUUCAGGCCUGGAUCUGACCUUAUCACCACUCAGUUUUCUUUGUUCCCUCAUCUCCUCAGCCUCCCUGUUAUUUCCUGAUAAAUGAGCUUUCUUGGGCUUUCAACACCUCUUUUGGCCAAAUCCCUUCCCACAUUCCUGAGGUUCUGGCUAUUUAACUCUCCAAUCACUACCUAUUCCACCUUCCAAGGACAAUGAGUUCAUGUUCCCCAAGCCACAGUCUGUCAACUCUGCCCAUUGGCUUUGGCUGUGUUCCUUGCCUAUCUAUCUAACUCUGCUUAUCCUCAGCUUCUUUCUUCUCUCCACUCUCAGGUCAGAUCCCAACUUCCUCUGCAAAAAGUCUUUCCCAGCCCUCCUUAAUCUUAGUGCUUUCCCUCUUUCCUCCAAUUUGUCUCUUUUAUGUGCUGUUUGGCUGUGGCUGUUUACAUGUUGUCCCCACCUUCACCUUAGCCUAUGAGUUCCUCAAGAGUGGAGGUUAUUUUUUUUUUUUGAGUGGAGGUUAUUUUUGCCUAUCUUGUAUAUCUGUAGAACUUGCAACACAGUAGGUGAUUAAUAAAUAUUUGUUGACAUUAA